RNAcentral lists this ribosomal RNA (301 nucleotides) under uncultured bacterium. Its description in RNAcentral is "partial 16S ribosomal RNA". It matches the Rfam family "Bacterial small subunit ribosomal RNA", at positions 509 to 807 of the family's 1533-position model. The record is from RNAcentral.
CAGUAGCCGCGGUAAUACGAGGGGGGCAAGCGUUGUUCGGAAUUAUUGGGCGUAAAGGGUGCGUAGGCGGUCUGAUAAGUCUGAUGUGAAAUCUAUGGGCUCAACCCAUAGUCUGCAUUAGAAACUGUCGGGCUUGAGUAUGGGAGAGGUGAGUGGAAUUUCCGGUGUAGCGGUGAAAUGCGUAGAUAUCGGAAGGAACACCUGUGGCGAAAGCGGCUCACUGGAUCAUUACUGACGCUGAUGCACGAAAGCUAGGGGAGCAAACAGGAUUAGAUACCCCCGUAGUCCCUGUCUCUUAUAC